This 425-nucleotide ribosomal RNA is filed under the name uncultured bacterium. Its description in RNAcentral is "partial 16S ribosomal RNA". It matches the Rfam family "Bacterial small subunit ribosomal RNA", at positions 354 to 796 of the family's 1533-position model. The record is from RNAcentral.
GUGGGGAAUAUUGCACAAUGGAGGAAACUCUGAUGCAGCGAUGCCGCGUGAGGGAAGAAGGUCUUCGGAUUGUAAACUCCUGUUGUUGAGGAAGAUAAUGACGGUACUCAACAAGGAAGUGACGGCUAACUACGUGCCAGCAGCCGCGGUAAAACGUAGGUCACAAGCGUUGUCCGGAAUUACUGGGUGUAAAGGGAGCGCAGGCGGGAAGACAAGUUGGAAGUGAAAUCCAUGGGCUCAACCCAUGAACUGCUUUCAAAACUGUUUUUCUUGAGUAGUGCAGAGGUAGGCGGAAUUCCCGGUGUAGCGGUGGAAUGCGUAGAUAUCGGGAGGAACACCAGUGGCGAAGGCGGCCUACUGGGCACCAACUGACGCUGAGGCUCGAAAGUGUGGGUAGCAAACAGGAUUAGAAACCCGAGUAGUCC